UUCCUACGGGAGGCAGCAGUGGGGAAUAUUGGGCAAUGGGCGCAAGCCUGACCCAGCAACGCCGCGUGAAGGAAGAAGGCUUUCGGGUUGUAAACUUCUUUUAUUCGGGACGAAGAAAGUGACGGUACCGAAUGAAUAAGCCACGGCUAACUACGUGCCAGCAGCCGCGGUAAUACGUAGGUGGCAAGCGUUAUCCGGAUUUAUUGGGUGUAAAGGGCGUGCAGCCGGGCUGACAAGUCAGAUGUGAAAUCCCGCGGCUCAACCGCGGAACUGCAUUUGAAACUGUCAGUCUUGAGUACCGGAGG
RNAcentral lists this ribosomal RNA (305 nucleotides) under uncultured bacterium. RNAcentral describes it as "bacterial SSU rRNA". It matches the Rfam family "Bacterial small subunit ribosomal RNA", at positions 336 to 655 of the family's 1533-position model. The record is from RNAcentral.